RNAcentral lists this unclassified non-coding RNA (3387 nucleotides) under Pomacea canaliculata. Its description in RNAcentral is "synaptotagmin-like protein 4, transcript variant X6". Lineage: Eukaryota; Metazoa; Mollusca; Gastropoda; Architaenioglossa; Ampullariidae. The record is from RNAcentral.
UAGAGAGGAGAGAUGACGUGGUCGUGAGUCGUGUGCAAGUCGAGGCCGCCACAGACGCACAUUCCAACCGCCACUCCACUUGUAGGAGUCCAACGGUUCUGUGAUGUGGACGGAUGAAGUUUGUAAACUCGCCUCAAGAUCGUACUUUGGUCUGCUCAGCAAGAUGGGGUUGUUGUGACACCAUGAUUGCAGUCACUGUGUUUCAUGGAUGUGCCAACAGCCAGCCCUUGUUAGAGUGACAAGAUCAAAUACUGACAUUGCUGUGCACCUGCAAGUCGAGAAACAGGCAGCCUUAGUACUUGUGCAGUUAUUCUGUGGUGUUUAAGGGUGACACAAAUUUCAAAGGUUCCCUGAAACUGAUAGUGUGAGGUUGUCAGCAAAGGUAGCUUUCUAGCAUCUGUGUGAGAUAACAUUCUCAUUCAGCAUGGAGGUUGGCUUGCUGGACCUGGAGGGGCUGACCAAUGAGGAACGGACCAUCAUCCUCAACGUUAUUCGUCGUGAUGAUGAAGUUUGUCGUCGCCUGGAGACCCGCAUAAAACAACUGAAAGCAGAACUACAUGAUAUCCGCAUGAAGAGUGCUCUUCGCACAGGAGAUGACUUGAGCAAAAUGUGUGCGCGGUGUCACAUGAUUUUCGGGAUUUUUGUGAACACUGGGGACAUUUGUCCAGGCUGUCACUUUCGAGUGUGCAAGAACUGCAGGGAAAAUCUCAUAUCCCAUGGCUGGAUGUGUAUUUUGUGUUUCAGAGAAAACCAGAUACGGUGGUUAACUGGAGAGUGGAUGGGGAAAGACAAGACAGGCAAGUCUAAGCAAAUUAGGGCAACGGACCUUGUGCGAGCUUCUCUGAGAAUCAGGCACGAAAACAGCUUUGUUGCUGAAAUCUUUACAGGUGCAGCAGGUGAUGAGAAAUCAUCAUCCGAAGAACACAGUCGUCCAGCAGAGGGUGACAGCAGCAGCAGCAUCAAUGGUGUCAGUGAAAAUGGACGUCGAGAAGAAAUCAGUCCAGUCACAAAGUUUGUUCCCUCAGGUGCUGCUAAUGCAGUCCCGGCAGAUUCUGUGCACAGUGCAGGUGUGGUUCUCUCCCCCUCUGAUGUACAUGCUCGCAGUUUCUCUUUGCCCCAGUGUAACCAGCAUGGGGCUGUUACAGUACCUCUUGAUCAGGAAUCCAUGCAGGCAAAAGGAGAUCAAAAACAAAAAAAUGGGGAUGAAAGCAGCUGUGGCGAACAAAAAGAUAUGUUUACCAUGGAUACUACAUCCUUGUCAGGCUUGGAAAGGAAAAGUCUCAAAGAGAGCGACACAAAAAGUCAAGAUAAGAAUGACAAAACAUGCCAUGAAAAUACAAGUUCUGUUCUACAUGAAGGUGGCCAGGAUGGUAAGAGUUGUAUUGUAGACAUGUGCUCACAGGCAGGAAAUACCAGAGAAGUCAAUAAAGAAUCAGAAAGUCUUGUGGAGGCUCAUGUGGAACACAUCAGUCAUCAUCAUGGUGCAGGCGAGGAGCAGUUUGAGGGGAGAGUCAUUUCCUUGGUACCAGAGGCUGGUGAAUCCACAGAGAACCCUUUGGCUGCUCUGAGGGCUCCGAAGAACGAGUUGCCGUACACGCUGCAACUGUUCUUGCGGUGUAACAGCACAACCUCGGAUACCUUGAGCAUCAUUUCGGAAUUAUCUGAACCCAAUGAAAGCUGCCAUGAAGAUUAUCUUGGAGAUGAAAGAGACAGGGAUUUGUUAGAUGAUGACGAGGGCAGUGAUGAUACAGUUUGCAAUGAGCCUCAUGUUUCUUGGUCAGAUGCAACUCAUGCAGGUUUUAAUGUAGAAAAGUCAGAAGACAAAGAAGCUCUACUUUUGGAUGAGGAAGGUGUUGUAGGUAACAGGAAUGGAAGCAGAGUAGAAGUAGCCAGUGAGGGAGAGCUUCAUGCAUCAUCAGUGUGUGAUGUGUGUCCACCUCUUGAAGCAUUUAGUCAGAAGGUUUAUUUUGCAGGUAAAGGUGUCCGGGACGUGGAGGAAGGAACAAGGGCAGGAGACGUAGAAGCUAAGGUUGAGGAAACAUCCAGCUCCAGUAGCCAGACGAAGCCAAUACAUGAUGGUGGCCUUAGAAGUGAGGUGAAACAAAAUUCACUUUCAUCAGAGAAGGAGGAUGAAAAGCAUUCGUCUCAAGUCGGAGGUGAUGCUUUAAUGAUAAAUGCUGAUGAGGCUGAAAAAGAAAAGAAUCAGGAUCUGAGAAGAGAUUUUAAAGGUUCUGUGCAUGCAGCGGCUGCCAUUGUAGACAAAGAAAAUGCCUUUGAUGAUGAAGAGAACCUUUGUAGUUCAAGCAGUUCUACUACUGUGCAGGAGAAUAUUUCCCAAGAAGAAAUCAACAGGAAUGUCAUUAUCAACACUCCUUAUGAGAGGAAUGUAAUUAUUGAUACUCCUGUCAUUAUCGAUACUACUUAUGAGAAGAAAGUGAGCGAUGAGGUAGACAAGCAGCCUAUUGAAAGUGAAUUAGUGUUGGAAUCUGGCUUAGGCCAAGAACCUAACUUAAUAGUUGAAUUCAUAGAAGAGAAGUCUAAUGCAGAUGAAGGCAAAGAAGUUCCUUGUACUGUGACACAAAUUGUCAGCAAUACUCAGAGAGAGAUCAAACCCCUUGUCACAGGUACAGAUGGCACACCAUCCAUUCCAGAGCAGUCUGGUGCAGGUUAUUGUGGGCAGAAUGUCACAGCAGCUGCAGGCAGGGUGACAGAUACGACUGUGCCACCAAAACCAGUUGAUCUGGGACAGAAAGUCGUUCCAGCUGCAGGAACUUUGCCUGUCAUUAUUACAACAAUUGCAGAAAAUGAUUCAGACAAAGGCAUCGCGACAGAUACAGGCAGGCUGCCAUUUGCUUCCCCUAAACUCCGCUUGUCAGAUGUUCCUGAUGGAGCAGAGUCACAGCAAAAAUUACCUCCAGAUAUCAGCAUCUCAAGACCGGUGGAUGCAGACAGUGCAGGGAGUGAACACUCUGGUUCACCAGAAAAGAGAAGCUCCCCACACCGCAACAGUCACUUGUCCAUCCAUCUGCGGCUACAGGUUCACAGUCAGGAUCUCAUGAUGAGAGGUCUUUCGAUGAUGAUGAUGAUAAUAUUGAUGAGCUGUUUGCCAACCAUCGGUCGGGUAGCAGAUUGAGUGCCAUGCGUAACAACAUUGGUUUUGGAGACAGUCCCUAUAUGCAUGGUUGUUUCCUUUCACUUGGGUUUCCACCUAGAGACAAGGAUGUGGACAGCCGUGAAAGUCUGGCAAGUGUUUACAGCAAUGCUGGGGAGAUCAACUAUGGGCGCAUUCCAGUAACAGGAGACAUUGUCUUUGGCCUGGACUAUGACCAUCGUCACUCUGUGCUGAAGAUUGACGUGAGGAACUGCCAAACAUUGCGCCUGUGGACA